This 411-nucleotide long non-coding RNA is filed under the name Vigna radiata. Its description in RNAcentral is "long non-coding RNA (VRAD_LNC010421)". Lineage: Eukaryota; Viridiplantae; Streptophyta; Magnoliopsida; Fabales; Fabaceae. The record is from RNAcentral.
CCCCACGUUACCACAGGUGGUCCCUUCAAUGCAACAGGAUGUCCAAAAUGGACAAAANGUUCGCGUAAUCGAUUACAGGCCUCUUGUAAACGAUUACAAGAGUGGUUUUUGCUGCAGAAUUCAUUGAACUUGUACAACAUUCAUCUCAUGACCNAGAGUGGACCCCCUGUACAUCAUGGGGUUUCCCAACCAUGACAUCCAACCCUAGACACACACUUAUACGAAAAACAUCUCAACUUCACUUGGAAAACACCCUAAUUCNUAUGGAACUUUCAUACAUUUCACAUAAGAAAAACCUGGACAUUAAUCAUCAAUCAACAAUCAUGUCUACAUUGCUAAUAAGCAUUCUUUAUAUCAUUCAUCUUAUUCAAAUAACAAUUUGUACAAUGUCUUGAAAUGUAUAAAAGAAUC